Non-coding RNA from Acanthosepion pharaonis, 114 nucleotides. The record is from the annotation of a GenBank genome assembly. Lineage: Eukaryota; Metazoa; Mollusca; Cephalopoda; Sepiida; Sepiidae.
UUACGACCAAAACACGUUGGAACACCGAUUCUCUUACGAUCACCGAAGUUAAGCAAAUCCGAGCCUGGUCAGUAUCUAGAUGGGUGACCGCUUAGGAAUACUAGGUUCUGUAAG